UACGUAGGGUCCGAGCGUUGUCCGGAAUUACUGGGCGUAAAGGGCGCGUAGGCGGAUAUUUAAGUCGGGGGUGAAAGCCCAGGGCUCAACCCUGGAAUUGCCUUCGAUACUGGAUAUCUUGAGUUCGGGAGAGGUGAGUGGAAUGCCGAGUGUAGAGGUGAAAUUCGUAGAUAUUCGGCGGAACACCAGUGGCGAAGGCGACUCACUGGCCCGAUACUGACGCUGAGGCGCGAAAGCGUGGGGAGCAAACAGG
This 253-nucleotide ribosomal RNA is filed under the name uncultured bacterium. RNAcentral describes it as "partial 16S ribosomal RNA". It matches the Rfam family "Bacterial small subunit ribosomal RNA", at positions 524 to 776 of the family's 1533-position model. The record is from RNAcentral.